UUCCGGUUGAUCCUGCCGGCGGCCACCGCUAUAGGAAUUCGAUUAAGACAUGCGAGUCGAGAGUCUUCGGGACUCGGCGGACUGCUCAGUAACACGUGGAUAACAUGCCCUUAGGAGGGGGAUAACCUCGAGAAAUUGAGAAUAAUACCCCAUAGGUCAUGAAUGCUGGAAUGCAUCAUGGCUCAAAGCUCCGGCGCCUAAGGAUUGGUCUGCGGCCUAUCAGGUAGUAGUGGGUGUAACGGACCCACUAGCCAAUGACGGGUAUGGGCCUUGAGAGAGGGAGCCCAGAGAUGGACUCUGAGACACGAGUCCAGGCCCUACGGGGCGCAGCAGUCGCGAAACCUUCACACUGAGGGAAACCUUGAUGAGGGAAUUCCUAGUGCCUGCAUUUUGUGUAGGCUUUUCUCCAGUGUAGAUAGCUGGAGGAAUAAGGGCCGGGUAAGACGGGUGCCAGCCGCCGCGGUAAUACCCGCGGCCCGAGUGGUGGUCGAUAUUAUUGAGUCUAAAACGUCCGUAGCCUGUUCAGUAAAUCUUUGGGUAAAUCGGCCAGCUUAACUGACCGAAUUCCGGAGAGACUGCUGAACUUGGGACCGGGAGAGGCCAGAGGUACUUCUGGGGUAGGGGUAAAAUCCUGUAAUCCUAGAAGGACCACCGGUGGCGAAGGCGUCUGGCUAGAACGGAUCCGACGGUGAGGGACGAAGCCCUGGGGCGCAAACGGGAUUAGAUACCCCGGUAGUCCAGGGUGUAAACGCUGCAGGCUUGGUGUUGGGGGUCCUUCGAGGGCGCCCAGUGCCGGAGAGAAGUUGUUAAGCCUGCUACUUGGGGAGUACGUCCGCAAGGAUGAAACUUAAAGGAAUUGGC
This 861-nucleotide ribosomal RNA is filed under the name uncultured archaeon. RNAcentral's name for it is "bacterial SSU rRNA". It matches the Rfam family "Archaeal small subunit ribosomal RNA", at positions 1 to 869 of the family's 1478-position model. The record is from RNAcentral.